Molecule: ribosomal RNA, 253 nt
Filed under: uncultured bacterium
Lineage: Bacteria
Description: partial 16S ribosomal RNA
Rfam family: Bacterial small subunit ribosomal RNA
Source: RNAcentral
UACGAAGGGGGCUAGCGUUGCUCGGAAUCACUGGGCGUAAAGCGCACGUAGGCGGAUUGUUAAGUCAGGGGUGAAAUCCUGGAGCUCAACUCCAGAACUGCCUUUGAUACUGGCGAUCUCGAGUCCGGGAGAGGUGAGUGGAACUGCGAGUGUAGAGGUGAAAUUCGUAGAUAUUAGGAAGAACACCAGUGGCGAAGGCGGCUCACUGGCCCGGUACUGACGCUGAUGUGCGAAAGCGUGGGGAGCAAACAGG